Non-coding RNA from Nicotiana tabacum (common tobacco), 669 nucleotides. NCBI's taxonomy places the organism in Eukaryota, Viridiplantae, Streptophyta, Magnoliopsida, Solanales, Solanaceae. The record is from RefSeq and is a predicted model, not a curated record.
GGUCGCAACUUUUGGCGAAAAAUUUAUUUUGAUUGGUUUGGCUUUAUUUCCAACCGAUUUGGUCGGUAGUUUUUAACAAAAAAAUUAAAAUAAUAAUUCCAACCGAAUCGGUCAGAAUUCUUUUUUAAAAACCUUACAGCCCCCUCCCCAAAAAGCAGAAGCUCAGUUUUCAUUCUCUCAUAUCUCCCUCUUGUCCCCAAGGUCCUCUCGUCCUUCUCCCCCGUCCCAAGCUCGUGCAUCUCGCAUGGUCGGCGGCGGCGGCGACAACAACUCCUCAGUCGACUUCUCCGGCAUUGUUUCCGUCGAGAUUCUAUGAAGCCAUUUUAUCAUGAGCCGUGGACUUCUUGGAGAAAGAUACCGUACAGCAUCAGAGAGCAAAUGUGGAAUUAAUUUAGGACAAGGUGUACAUGGUAUCCUCAUCAUCAAAAUGCAAUAAAUAGUAUUUUCGAGAAGAAAGUUGGUAUAAGAAUUAAAGAUACUAUGUGUGCUACUCGGAAUUCUGGUAAAAUGCCGGACUGGUUAAGAGAAGAUGUUUGGGAUAAACUUCUUGAGAAAUGGAUACCCCAGAAUGGAAGGCAAAGAGUGAACAAGAAAAGGCAAACCGUGCCUCUAAAAAAGGUAGCUCGUUGCGCACAGGAGGUUCGUUUACUUUUGAGGCCCUUAAACUAA